UACAGGGGGUGCAAACGUUGCUCGGAAUUAUUGGGCGUAAAGCGCGCGUAGGCGGCUACCUAAGUCGGAUGUGAAAGCCCCUGGCUCAACUGGGGAAGUGCACCCGAAACUGAGUGGCUUGAAUACCAAAGAGGGUCGCGGAAUUCCUGGUGUAGCGGUGAAAUGCGUAGAGAUCAGGAGGAACACCCAUGGCGAAGGCAGCUCUCUGGUCGACCUCUGACGCUGAGACGCGAAAGCGUGGGGAGCGAACGGG
This 253-nucleotide ribosomal RNA is filed under the name uncultured bacterium. RNAcentral describes it as "partial 16S ribosomal RNA". It matches the Rfam family "Bacterial small subunit ribosomal RNA", at positions 524 to 776 of the family's 1533-position model. The record is from RNAcentral.